RNAcentral lists this ribosomal RNA (464 nucleotides) under uncultured bacterium. RNAcentral's name for it is "partial 16S ribosomal RNA". It matches the Rfam family "Bacterial small subunit ribosomal RNA", at positions 28 to 506 of the family's 1533-position model. The record is from RNAcentral.
GACGAACGCUGGCGGCGUGCUUAACACAUGCAAGUCGAACGGAAAGGCCCUGCUUGCAGGGUACUCGAGUGGCGAACGGGUGAGUAACACGUGGGUGAUCUGCCCUGCACUUCGGGAUAAGCCUUGGAAACUGGGUCUAAUACCGGAUAGGAGCCAUUUUUAGUGUGAUGGUUGGAAAGUUUUUUCGGUGUAGGGUGAGCUCGCGGCCUAUCAGCUUGUUGGUGGGGUAAUGGCCUACCAAGGCGGCGACGGGUAGCCGGCCUGAGAGGGUGGACGGCCACAUUGGGACUGAGAUACGGCCCAGACUCCUACGGGAGGCAGCAGUGGGGAAUAUUGCACAAUGGGCGCAAGCCUGAUGCAGCGACGCCGCGUGGGGGAUGACGGCCUUCGGGUUGUAAACUCCUUUCGCUAGGGACGAAGCUUUUUGUGACGGUACCUAGAUAAGAAACACCGGCUAACUACGU